UGGGCAGGCCAAGGUCCUGGAGCUGCCCUUUCUGCCUUCUCCUCUCCCCCUUCCCCCCAUACUCCCUUCCAUUCCUUCCCACUCCCUUCUUCUCACCUCCCUCUUUCCAGCCUCCUGCCUCCUGGUUCUCAGCCCCUCUGCUUCUCCUUUCCUCUGUCUCCCUCAAUUUUCUGUAUCUUCCCUUCCUUGCUUGUUUCCACUCUGUUCUUCACUUCCCCGCAUCCUGCCAGAUUUUAAACUCUGUUCAAAAAGCUUCUCCAAACCUCUUCUCCUUCCUGAGUUUGCCAGAUCCUCCCAGGCUCUCCUCCUUCACCCAGUCCCCUGCCCUAAAUCCACCUCUGCUCUUUCCUGGCACUGGAUGCCUACUUGGAGGAGGAGCCUUCUGGAGACACCGACCCUCGACCCCGAGUUGUGAGUCUGACUGUGGAAAUCCUUGGCCCCCAGGGCAGGCCCAUGCAGGGUUUGGAGGAUAAAUUUGGAAACGAAAAGGUUUUCUGGAGCCCCUCAAAUCACACAGCGCAGGAGGAGCAUCGGCACGAGAACUCAGUGAAACAGCGUGGCAGAAGGCUUUGCACAGCGCUUGGUGGAUAGAAAGGGCACCGUGCUUUCUAUUUCUGCCGUAACACUUGGCUUCAGAACGGUCUCAGCCAGCAGCUUGCAGCCCAGGCAUUGAGAGCUGAUCCCAGGCAAGUGCCCGGCAGGGUCUCACAUUGCAAGCUCUCAGGUAGAUGUUAACGUUCACUCUGAGCUCUGGAGCCAGUCCAGGCCAUGGAGGCUGCGCCGAACCCCAAUCUAGUUCACCUUCCUUGAACAGCAGCUCACCACCCCUCCUGUUCAUCCUCAGCUGCCCACACCUAGCCUGGUUCUGUAGGAAACUCCAUCCUCAGGGAAGAAGCAGGAGUAGGCUGCUGCAGAGCCAGCCAGCAAAUUCUUGAAGCAUGAACAGGUUAGUUUUCAUCAAAAGAUUUGAAAGUUCUGGACAGCCAGAUACCUCUCUUUGGGAUAACAACAUUUAUAGGCCCUAAGACCUGUCUUCCAGCUCCUGUGUGCACUGGCUGUCUGCCUUCCGAUGCCCACGCCCACACCAUCACCUCAGAGUUCCAGAAUCCCCAAGCCAGGCUCUCUGAGGCCUUUUCCACCCCCUAGAGGUCUCAGGGCCUGAUCCAAUUCCUGUAAAGUAGGCAUCCAGCCUGGAGGCACCAGGGGGCCCUAGGCUUAGUCCCCAAGCAUAUGCAGCCCAGCCUCAGCCCUGAUUCUCCAGGUGUGGACAGCAUCCCCAUUUACACUCUGACUCCCAUGACAGGGCAUCUACUGCUUCUCCUCUUGCCAGGCUGCUCAGCAAGUUCUGCCCCUUGGAGCCAGUGAUGCUUAAUUUUAUGUGUCAACUUGACUGGGCCAUGGGAUGCCCAGAUGUUUCAGUCUCUUUUCUGUUGCUAUAACAGAAAACCUGUGUGAAAGGAAACUCAUUAAGCCAAAGGGAAAAGUUAAGCUGGGAACUGGGUCACGCAAACCAGCCUCCCCUUUUCUUGUUCCUAAAUAAGAUGGCUACAAGAUGAAAAGCUACAUGUCUCCCCCAUAGUUUGCCCAUAAGGAAAUUCCUAGUAAGCUUCAAGAUCUUUAUCCUAAAGUUUUUCUGUUAAAAUUUCACUAUGGCAAUGAAAAUUGGUAGCUUACCUUUACAGGUGCAGUCACCCCCGCUCCACCCACCAGAAACAAAUGCAUGUCUGAUUGUUCUCCUGCCCUAUUUUGUCCAUGUUAUCUUAUGUAAAAAUGCAGAUUCCCUGCAUUUUUCCUCUGCCCCAUUUGUCUAUGUUAUUGUCAGUCAAAAAAAAAAUGUGGAUUCACUGAGCCAGACAAAGGCAUGAAUGACUAUUUUUCCCUACCUGCUCUUACAUGAAAAUUGUUGACUUCUCAAUACCCUGCCCUUUCCCCUUUAAAUUUGGAGCCCUCAAAAUCAUCUUCAGAGAAAGGCAUAGACCUGUCUCCUGGGCACGUGUCCUUAACUUUGGCAAAUAAACCUCCU
Molecule: long non-coding RNA, 2023 nt
Filed under: Homo sapiens (human)
Lineage: Eukaryota; Metazoa; Chordata; Mammalia; Primates; Hominidae
Description: HSALNT0221885
Source: RNAcentral